UCCUUGGUGGUCCAAUGGUUAAGACUCUGUGCUUGCAGGGCAGGGGGCCUGGGUUCAAUCCCUGGUCAGAGAA
Molecule: transfer RNA, 73 nt
Filed under: Ovis aries (sheep)
Lineage: Eukaryota; Metazoa; Chordata; Mammalia; Artiodactyla; Bovidae
Rfam family: tRNA
About the family: Transfer RNA (tRNA) molecules are approximately 80 nucleotides in length. Their secondary structure includes four short double-helical elements and three loops (D, anti-codon, and T loops). Further hydrogen bonds mediate the characteristic L-shaped molecular structure. tRNAs have two regions of fundamental functional importance: the anti-codon, which is responsible for specific mRNA codon recognition, and the 3' end, to which the tRNAs corresponding amino acid is attached (by aminoacyl-tRNA synthetases). tRNAs cope with the degeneracy of the genetic code in two manners: having more than one tRNA (with a specific anti-codon) for a particular amino acid; and 'wobble' base-pairing, i.e. permitting non-standard base-pairing at the 3rd anti-codon position.
Source: Rfam by way of RNAcentral